UCUAGAUGUAAGACACAGUUUCUCCAUCGGUAUUCGUCAACUGAAGCGACUGUUAAGAAGAAUGAAUUUACGUCGUCGUGGUGCUUCAAAUAUCCAAGUGGUCCGGCGAGCAGUACAGGAAGAACUAAAUGGCAGUGGUGCCUAUCUCGGAUGUAGGUCAAUGCGGUCGCGGCUGCAGUCGUCGUAUGGCCUAUCAGUACCAAG
Molecule: long non-coding RNA, 204 nt
Organism: Haliotis rubra (blacklip abalone)
Lineage: Eukaryota; Metazoa; Mollusca; Gastropoda; Lepetellida; Haliotidae
Exons: 3
Source: RefSeq, a predicted model, not a curated record